RNAcentral lists this ribosomal RNA (499 nucleotides) under uncultured bacterium. RNAcentral's name for it is "partial 16S ribosomal RNA". It matches the Rfam family "Bacterial small subunit ribosomal RNA", at positions 899 to 1397 of the family's 1533-position model. The record is from RNAcentral.
ACUCAAAUGAAUUGACGGGGGCCCGCACAAGCGGUGGAGCAUGUGGUUUAAUUCGAUGCAACGCGAAGAACCUUACCUACUUUUGAAUCCCGAGGAUCCUGCAGAGAUGUGGGAGUGCCGCAAGGAACUCGGAGACAGGUGCUGCAUGGCUGUCGUCAGCUCGUGUCGUGAGAUGUUGGGUUAAGUCCCGUAACGAGCGCAACCCUAAUUCUUAGUUGCCAACAGGUAAAGCUGGGGACUCUAAGAAGACUGCCGGUGAUAAACCGGAGGAAGGUUAGGAUGACGUCAAGUCAUCAUGGCCCUUACAAGUAGGGCUACACACGUGCUACAAUGGGUACUACAAAGGGAAGCAAAACUGCGAAGUGGAGCAAAUCCCAUCAAAGGUACUCGCAGUCCGGAUUGGAGUCUGCAACUCGACUCCAUGAAGCUGGAAUCGCUAGUAAUCGUGGAUCAGAACGCCACGGUGAAUACGUUCCCGGGCCUUGCACACACCGCCCGU